Molecule: ribosomal RNA, 253 nt
Filed under: uncultured bacterium
Lineage: Bacteria
Description: partial 16S ribosomal RNA
Rfam family: Bacterial small subunit ribosomal RNA
Source: RNAcentral
GACGGAGGAUGCAAGCGUUAUCCGGAAUCAUUGGGCGUAAAGCGUCCGUAGGUGGCUUGGUAAGUCGGCUGUCAAAUCACAUGGCUCAACCAUGUAACGGCAGUGGAAACUGCUAGGCUAGAGUGCGGUAGGGGUAGCGGGAAUUCCCGGUGUAGCGGUGAAAUGCGUAGAUACUGGGAAGAACAUCGGUGGCGAAAGCGCGCUACUGGGUCGCAACUGACACUGAGGGACGAAAGCUAGGGGAGCGAAUGGG